CAAGGCAUAAAGGAGCUAACGAAGGAGCCGGCGAGGAGAGAGCACUGAAGCCCAAGAAGGAGCCUAUUUGCUGGAUUGUCACCAUCUUUUGCCCUUGAGCCGCUGGAACCACAUCUUGUAAGAUUUUGCAAAAAGUGCAAGAUUUGUGUGCUGCAGAGAGCGGUGUCAGUGAGCAGCUGCUUCUCCUUCAGCAUGAGUUGUUCAGGGUAUAGACUUCACGCGCUGCUGGCUGGGCAACACCAAACUGCGAAGCUGAGGCGCGGAACAGCGGGGACCUGGACUGCCAAAUACAAAUGUCCUGGUUUAAUUUGCAAGUGUAUGUUUGAAAACAAAACAAGGGAUUAAAGCAGAAGUUUUUACAAAAAAUUCUUCGGAAGAUAUUAUGAAAAUAUGUAUUGUUACCUGGUAAUCUUCCGACUGCUUCUAAUUUAGUAGAACACAUUAACUCCUCUUGUAAGUCGACUGCAAUCGAUGGAGCUGUCUUAACAAUGAGUUAGAGUUGCCUUGCAGAGUGGAUGCCGUUAGCCCUUUCUGAGCAUAGUCCCUCUGGUUUCUGAUCAAUCAGCUGAAUUUAUUUUUCACAUUUCUGAGAGUGUUAGAAAUAUAGAUUGGAACGGCAGCUGCACGUAUUACCUUGGUUCCAAACUGUCAUCAAACACUAAGUUGACCUAAUAAAAAUCACAAGGAUGUUUCCAGGGGAUGGUUUGCUUUAGGUGAGGAACCCACGUUCUUUCUUUCUGAAACUUUUGAAUAAAGUUUUUCCUCUAUGCAAAUAUUAUAAAUGUGACGUCCAGGUAAUAAAGUGAAAACUGGCUUUUAGAGCCGAAAAAUUGACAUCUCUUUCUCCACACUCUUCAGAAAAUGACAGAAUGAAGAAAACCCUUCUCAGCUAAAACAUUUUUUCUUCUAAGUUUUGUACAGCUUCUGUAAUGUGCCUGCAGGCAGCUGUUCAGAGGGAGCCAGGAAAGCAACCGCUGUCUGUAUUGGCUGAAUUAGGGCUGAACUGCUGACAUGGAUGGCAAUGACUUGGCCUGGAAAUAAAAGCGAAGAAGGUAGCAGGGAGGUGAUCCAGAUUACCAUUCAAUUGUAAGUCUUCCCUGUAUCCGCAUCCCUUUCGUCCAGUAGAUUGGAAGUGUUGGAACAUCCAUGGCUGGUUGGAGCUUUGAGCAAUCUGGUGUAGCGGGAGGUGUCCCUGCCCAUGGCAGGGGGUUUGGAAAUAGAUGAUCUUUAAGGUCUCUUCUAACCCGAACCAUUCUAUGAUUCUAUGGUUCUAUGGGUUCUUGCAGAUCAUGGAAAAAUAACCCUGCGGGCUCUGCCUCUGGCUGCCCCCACAUCUGGCAGCUCUAGAUCUGGUCUAAGCCCACAGGCGGGCUCACAGCUCGAACUUGCCCCCGGAGCUGGUGCCAUUUUUAGUUUUACAGGGAAAGGUACACUGUGAAAGAUGGUGGGUUUGGCUCCCUGAGGGCCCCUGAGAAAAGGAGCUCUAAAAAACAGAAUGAUGCACCUCUUGAAAGACCAGAUGUCCUAGACUAAAGGCAACAGAGACAGUGAUUUCAUGAGAGGGUUGGAGUCUCAAGCAAAUCUGAAAAUAUGGCCCUUAAAUAUUUAGCUGUCUCUUUGGGAACUGACUUCCUUUGACAACCUGCAUCCAUGUCGUCAUCAUGCUUGAUAUGCUAUAAAUAAAUCCGUGAUGUUUGAUGCCAAUCAACUAAUACCAGCUCCUUAACACA
This is a long non-coding RNA of Chroicocephalus ridibundus (black-headed gull), 1730 nucleotides long. RefSeq lists it as uncharacterized. NCBI's taxonomy places the organism in Eukaryota, Metazoa, Chordata, Aves, Charadriiformes, Laridae. The record is from RefSeq and is a predicted model, not a curated record. The transcript is spliced from 3 exons.